UAGGGAAUUUUUCACAAUGGGCGCAAGCCUUAUGAAGCAAUGCCGCGUGAACGAUGAAGGUCUUAUAGAUUGUAAAGUUCUUUUAUAUGGGAAGAAACGCUAAGAUAGGAAAUGAUUUUAGUUUGACUGUACCAUUUGAAUAAGUAUCGGCUAACUAUGUGCCAGCAGCCGCGGUAAUACAUAGGAUGCAAGCGUUAUCCGGAUUUACUGGGCGUAAAACGAGCGCAGGCGGGUUUGUAAGUUUGGUAUUAAAUCUAGAUGCUUAACGUCUAGCUGUAUCAAAAACUGUAAACCUAGAGUGUAGUAGGGAGUUGGGGAACUCCAUGUGGAGCGGUAAAAUGCGUAGAUAUAUGGAAGAACACCGGUGGCGAAGGCGCCAACUUGGACUAUCACUGACGCUUAGGCUCGAAAGUGUGGGGAGCAAAUAGG
This 429-nucleotide ribosomal RNA is filed under the name uncultured Ureaplasma sp. Its description in RNAcentral is "bacterial SSU rRNA". It matches the Rfam family "Bacterial small subunit ribosomal RNA", at positions 355 to 776 of the family's 1533-position model. Lineage: Bacteria; Bacillati; Mycoplasmatota; Mycoplasmoidales; Mycoplasmoidaceae. The record is from RNAcentral.